UACGAAGGGGGCUAGCGUUGUUCGGAAUUACUGGGCGUAAAGCGUGCGCAGGCGGUUUGUUAAGUCCGUUGUGAAAGCCCCGAGCUCAACUUGGGAAUUGCAGUGGAUACUGGCAGGCUGGAGUACGGUAGGGGAAGGUGGAAUUCCCGGUGUAGCAGUGAAAUGCGUAGAUAUCGGGAGGAACACCAGUGGCGAAGGCGGCCUUCUGGACCAGUACUGACGCUCAUGCACGAAAGCGUGGGGAGCAAACAGG
This 253-nucleotide ribosomal RNA is filed under the name uncultured bacterium. RNAcentral's name for it is "partial 16S ribosomal RNA". It matches the Rfam family "Bacterial small subunit ribosomal RNA", at positions 524 to 776 of the family's 1533-position model. The record is from RNAcentral.